This 303-nucleotide non-coding RNA is filed under the name Bacillus sp. (in: firmicutes). RNAcentral describes it as "Bacillus sp. T-box sequence". It matches the Rfam family "T-box leader". Rfam says of the family: Uncharged tRNA acts as the effector for transcription antitermination of genes in the T-box leader family. T-boxes are found upstream of many aminoacyl-tRNA synthetase genes and some amino acid biosynthetic genes usually in Gram-positive bacteria. The record is from RNAcentral. Lineage: Bacteria; Bacillati; Bacillota; Bacilli; Caryophanales; Bacillaceae.
UAAACUUCGUUGACGAGAACAAGUACGUUUUAGGGUCACUCCUCAGAGAGCCGGCGGCAGCUGAAAGUCCGGUGUGUGAGCCAUUUCGGAAUAUCCUCUCUGAGAAGCGGCGCCGAACCUGCGAGAGCAGCAGUAAGUGCUGACGGCCGUCCCCCGUUAUAGGGAACGCGAACGGAAUGUUCGCGACUAAGGUGCCGCAUGAAGCGCAGUUCAAGUGAGCUGUUGCCUUCAUCUUCUUGCUAGCUGUUUGGCAGAAGCGAAUGCGGAACAAGGGUGGUAACGCGACUAAGCCUCGUCCCUUCU